RNAcentral lists this microRNA precursor (190 nucleotides) under Triticum aestivum (bread wheat). RNAcentral describes it as "miR1128 stem-loop (tae-MIR1128)". The stretch from base 30 to 166 matches the Rfam family "MIR1120/MIR1122 microRNA precursor family". The record is from miRBase by way of RNAcentral. Lineage: Eukaryota; Viridiplantae; Streptophyta; Magnoliopsida; Poales; Poaceae.
AUAUGAGAGCAUGGGUGAGAGGUGCUUAGUUACUACUCCCUCCGUCCGAAAAUACUUGUCAUCAAAAUGAAUAAAAAAGGGGAUGUAUCUAGAACUAAAAUACAUCUAGAUACAUCCCCUUCUAUCCAUUUUGAUGACAACUAUUUCCGGACGGAGGGAGUAAUUGCUUCUUCUGGCUUGGCGUUUAUGU